AGAGUUUGAUCCUGGCUCAGAUUGAACGCUGGCGGCAGGCCUAACACAUGCAAGUCGAACGGUAACAGGAAGAAGCUUGCUUCUUUGCUGACGAGUGGCGGACGGGUGAGUAAUGUCUGGGAAACUGCCUGAUGGAGGGGGAUAACUACUGGAAACGGUAGCUAACACCGCAUAACGUCGCAAGACCAAAGAGGGGGACCUUCGGGCCUCUUGCCAUCGGAUGUGCCCAGAUGGGAUUAGCUAGUAGGUGGGGUAACGGCUCACCUAGGCGACGAUCCCUAGCUGGUCUGAGAGGAUGACCAGCCACACUGGAACUGAGGCACGGUCCAGACUCCUACGGGAGGCAGCAGAAGGGCGAAUU
RNAcentral lists this ribosomal RNA (361 nucleotides) under uncultured Escherichia sp. RNAcentral describes it as "bacterial SSU rRNA". It matches the Rfam family "Bacterial small subunit ribosomal RNA", at positions 8 to 365 of the family's 1533-position model. Lineage: Bacteria; Pseudomonadati; Pseudomonadota; Gammaproteobacteria; Enterobacterales; Enterobacteriaceae. The record is from RNAcentral.